AGUGUGUGUCUGAAAAAACGGGGAGAA
Molecule: non-coding RNA, 27 nt
Filed under: Cricetulus griseus (Chinese hamster)
Lineage: Eukaryota; Metazoa; Chordata; Mammalia; Rodentia; Cricetidae
Source: RNAcentral